This 232-nucleotide ribosomal RNA is filed under the name uncultured bacterium. Its description in RNAcentral is "partial 16S ribosomal RNA". It matches the Rfam family "Bacterial small subunit ribosomal RNA", at positions 28 to 256 of the family's 1533-position model. The record is from RNAcentral.
GAUGAACGCUAGCUACAGGCUUAACACAUGCAAGUCGAGGGGUAGCAGGGCCUAGCAAUAGGUUGCUGACGACCGGCGCACGGGUGAGUAACACGUAUCCAACCUGCCCUAUACUCGGGGAUAGCCUUUCGAAAGAAAGAUUAAUACCCGAUAGUAUAAUUAGAUCGCCUGAUUUGAUUAUUAAAGAAUUUCGGUAUAGGAUGGGGAUGCGUUCCAUUAGAUUGUUGGUGGG